Molecule: ribosomal RNA, 492 nt
Filed under: uncultured bacterium
Lineage: Bacteria
Description: partial 16S ribosomal RNA
Rfam family: Bacterial small subunit ribosomal RNA
Source: RNAcentral
AGUGAACGCUGGCGGUAGGCCUAACACAUGCGAGUCGAACGGCAGCACAGUAAGAGCUUGCUCUUACGGGUGGCGAGUGGCGGACAGGUGAGGAAUACAUCGGAAUCUACUUUUUCGUGGGGGAUAACGUAGGGAAACUUACGCUAAUACCGCAUACGACCUACGGGUGAAAGCAGGGGAUCUUCGGACCUUGCGCGAUUGAAUGAGCCGAUGUCGGAUUAGCUAGUUGGCGGGGUAAAGGCCCACCAAGGCGACGAUCCGUAGCUGGUCUGAGAGGAUGAUCAGCCACACUGGAACUGAGACACGGUCCAGACUCCUACGGGAGGCAGCAGUGGGGAAUAUUGGACAAUGGGCGCAAGCCUGAUCCAGCCAUACCGCGUGGGUGAAGAAGGCCUUCGGGUUGUAAAGCCCUUUUGUUGGGAAAGAAAAGCAGCAGGUUAAUACCCCGCUGUUCUGACGGUACCCAAAGAAUAAGCACCGGCUAACUUCGUG